GGAGAUACUUAGGCUCCCCAGAGAAAUUAGUCACAAGUCUUAUCCCUUCAUCUCCAUUUACAGCCAUUUAUUUGGGAGCAACAUACUUUAAAUGAGUGAUAAACAAAAUGUCUCCCCACAGCCCCCACCCCAGCAUGUGUUCUGAAGUUCACAGGAAGGCUUCUCCUCAUUUGCUUUGGGGCCCGCAGGCUGCCUGCUAACAGCUGGGUCUUCCCAUGAACAAAUUAGACAGUUAAUGUUCCAGGAUGAAGAGGGCUUCGGGGAACAGAAUCUGCCGUUUAUUUGACUUGCUUCAUUAGACACAGUGCCAUCAUACCAAAAUUAGAAAAAAGAAGGAACUCAGCGGAAAUCAGCUACACAAGAAGAACCUCUCAGUUCUGAGAAUUCACAUUAACCAGUGAUUAAGAAAUAUUAAAAAGGGCUGAUAGUCCACUACGUUAUCAAGUUCAAAGCCUAAGAAAUAUUGAACAUUUCCACACAUGAAUGUGGGUACUAUGUUUAAUUUGAGAAUGGCCAACUGUCCUCGAAGUCUCAAUCUCUUUGGAGCCUACCAGCUCCGAGAGAAGUUUGAGGAUGCUGCAAAACCCUCCCCUGCAAAUCCAUCUACUCCUCCCACUUCUAUCCUAAUGGUUCUUGGCUGUGCUGAGGAUCUGUAAGGCACCAGAUGUGAAAGUAAGGAAGAAAGAUGGAUGUGGAAGAAAGUCACUGCCCAGAGAAUAAGGAGACCUGGAUUCUAAUCUCAGCUCUGCCAUUAACUAGCUUCUAUACUUUAUCCAAGAAAGAAUAAAUCAUUUCCAAAUAUUUUCAAAGAUGAAACUAUGGCUCAAAAGGGAAUAAGAGAUCAAGGCAAGCAUGGACAUCUUGUACGUGGAAGUGCAGACCAGAACUUGUAUCACAGCCAGUCAUAUCUGGUGCUUUCCAUGCUACUUUUACAUACAUGUAUCCUUAAAUUUGAUCCUCUUCUAGUUUAGUCUAAACUCUUUACUUUGUAACUUCCAAACCUAAAAGGUGCAGCAGACAUUGACAAUCUUAAUUCAUUUGUCAGGUCA
This 1049-nucleotide long non-coding RNA is filed under the name Homo sapiens (human). Its description in RNAcentral is "novel transcript". The record is from RNAcentral. Lineage: Eukaryota; Metazoa; Chordata; Mammalia; Primates; Hominidae.